AGAGUUUGAUCAUGGCUCAGAUUGAACGCUGGCGGCAGGCCUAACACAUGCAAGUCGAGCGGUAGCACAGAGAGCUUGCUCUCGGGUGACGAGCGGCGGACGGGUGAGUAAUGUCUGGGAAACUGCCUGAUGGAGGGGGAUAACUACUGGAAACGGUAGCUAAUACCGCAUAAUGUCGCAAGACCAAAGUGGGGGACCUUCGGGCCUCAUGCCAUCAGAUGUGCCCAGAUGGGAUUAGCUAGUAGGUGGGGUAACGGCUCACCUAGGCGACGAUCCCUAGCUGGUCUGAGAGGAUGACCAGCCACACUGGAACUGAGACACGGUCCAGACUCCUACGGGAGGCAGCAGUGGGGAAUAUUGCACAAUGGGCGCAAGCCUGAUGCAGCCAUGCCGCGUGUGUGAAGAAGGCCUUCGGGUUGUAAAGCACUUUCAGCGGGGAGGAAGGCGAUGAGGUUAAUAUCCUCAUCGAUUGACGUUACCCGCAGAAGAAGCACCGGCUAACUCCGUGCCAGCAGCCGCGGUAAUACGGAGGGUGCAAGCGUUAAUCGGAAUUACUGGGCGUAAAGCGCACGCAGGCGGUCUGUCAAGUCGGAUGUGAAAUCCCCGGGCUCAACCUGGGAACUGCAUUCGAAACUGGCAGGCUAGAGUCUUGUAGAGGGGGGUAGAAUUCCAGGUGUAGCGGUGAAAUGCGUAGAGAUCUGGAGGAAUACCGGUGGCGAAGGCGGCCCCCUGGACAAAGACUGACGCUCAGGUGCGAAAGCGUGGGGAGCAAACAGGAUUAGAUACCCUGGUAGUCCACGCCGUAAACGAUGUCGAUUUGGAGGUUGUGCCCUUGAGGCGUGGCUUCCGGAGCUAACGCGUUAAAUCGACCGCCCGGGGAGUACGGCCGCAAGGUUAAAACUCAAAUGAAUUGACGGGGGCCCGCACAAGCGGUGGAGCAUGUGGUUUAAUUCGAUGCAACGCGAAGAACCUUACCUGGUCUUGACAUCCACAGAACUUAGCAGAGAUGCUUUGGUGCCUUCGGGAACUGUGAGACAGGUGCUGCAUGGCUGUCGUCAGCUCGUGUUGUGAAAUGUUGGGUUAAGUCCCGCAACGAGCGCAACCCUUAUCCUUUGUUGCCAGCGGUUAGGCCGGGAACUCAAAGGAGACUGCCAGUGAUAAACUGGAGGAAGGUGGGGAUGACGUCAAGUCAUCAUGGCCCUUACGACCAGGGCUACACACGUGCUACAAUGGCAUAUACAAAGAGAAGCGACCUCGCGAGAGCAAGCGGACCUCAUAAAGUAUGUCGUAGUCCGGAUUGGAGUCUGCAACUCGACUCCAUGAAGUCGGAAUCGCUAGUAAUCGUAGAUCAGAAUGCUACGGUGAAUACGUUCCCGGGCCUUGUACACACCGCCCGUCACACCAUGGGAGUGGGUUGCAAAAGAAGUAGGUAGCUUAACCUUCGGGAGGGCGCUUACCACUCUCUGA
This 1467-nucleotide ribosomal RNA is filed under the name Klebsiella pneumoniae. RNAcentral's name for it is "bacterial SSU rRNA". It matches the Rfam family "Bacterial small subunit ribosomal RNA". The record is from RNAcentral. Lineage: Bacteria; Pseudomonadati; Pseudomonadota; Gammaproteobacteria; Enterobacterales; Enterobacteriaceae.